Molecule: non-coding RNA, 210 nt
Organism: Pelodiscus sinensis (Chinese soft-shelled turtle)
Lineage: Eukaryota; Metazoa; Chordata; Testudines; Trionychidae
Source: RefSeq, a predicted model, not a curated record
CCCCCCCCCGGCCGCAGCGGCUUCCAGAAAGCACCCGACAAAAACACCUGUCAAGACAUCAACGAGUGCUUGACCUUCGGGACUUGCUCCCAGCUCUGCAACAACACCAAGGGUUCCCACGUCUGCAGCUGCGCCCGGAACUUCAUGAAAACCCAUCACACCUGCAAAGCAGAAGGCUCGGAGCAGCAGAUCCUGUACAUCGCCGCCGAC